UAUACGACUCUCGGCAAUGGAUAUCUCGGCUCUCGCAUCGAUGAAGAGCGCAGCGAAAUGCGAUACGUGGUGUGAAUUGCAGAAUCCAGCGAACCAUCGAGUCUUUGAACGCAAGUUGCGCCCGAGGCCAACUGGCUGAGGGCACGUCUGCCUGGGCGUCAAGC
This 164-nucleotide ribosomal RNA is filed under the name Trichotosia pulvinata. RNAcentral's name for it is "5.8S ribosomal RNA". It matches the Rfam family "5.8S ribosomal RNA". Rfam says of the family: 5.8S ribosomal RNA (5.8S rRNA) is a component of the large subunit of the eukaryotic ribosome. It is transcribed by RNA polymerase I as part of the 45S precursor that also contains 18S and 28S rRNA. Functionally, it is thought that 5.8S rRNA may be involved in ribosome translocation. Lineage: Eukaryota; Viridiplantae; Streptophyta; Magnoliopsida; Asparagales; Orchidaceae. The record is from RNAcentral.